CCCUUAGAUGUUCUGGGCCGCACGCGCGCUACACUGACUGACUCAACGAGUUUACAACCUGUGCCGAAAGGUAUGGGUAAUCUUUUGAAAUUCAGUCGUGAUGGGGCUAGAUUAUUGCAACUAUUAAUCUUCAACGAGGAAUGCCUAGUAAGCGCGAAUCAUCAGUUCGCGUUGAUUACGUCCCUGCCCUUUGUACACACCGCCCGUCGCUCCUACCGAUUGAAUGGUCCGGUGAAGCGCUCGGACCGCGGCCUCUUGACGGUUUUCCGUCGAUUGGCUGUGGGAAGUUCGUUAAACCUUAUCAUUUAGAGGAAGGAGAANUCGUANCA
This 329-nucleotide ribosomal RNA is filed under the name uncultured eukaryote. RNAcentral describes it as "partial 18S ribosomal RNA". It matches the Rfam family "Eukaryotic small subunit ribosomal RNA", at positions 1470 to 1796 of the family's 1831-position model. The record is from RNAcentral.